RNAcentral lists this ribosomal RNA (421 nucleotides) under uncultured bacterium. RNAcentral's name for it is "bacterial SSU rRNA". It matches the Rfam family "Bacterial small subunit ribosomal RNA", at positions 360 to 773 of the family's 1533-position model. The record is from RNAcentral.
AAUUUUGGACAAUGGGCGAAAGCCUGAUCCAGCCAUUCCGCGUGCAGGAUGAAGGCCCUCGGGUUGUAAACUGCUUUUGUACGGAACGAAAAGGCUCUUUCUAAUACAAGGGGCUCAUGACGGUACCGUAAGAAUAAGCACCGGCUAACUACGUGCCAGCAGCCGCGGUAAUACGUAGGGUGCAAGCGUUAAUCGGAAUUACUGGGCGUAAAGCGUGCGCAGGCGGUGAUGUAAGACAGUUGUGAAAUCCCCGGGCUCAACCUGGGAACUGCAUCUGUGACUGCAUCGCUGGAGUGCGGCAGAGGGGGAUGGAAUUCCGCGUGUAGCAGUGAAAUGCGUAGAUAUCAGGAGGAAUACCGAUGGCGAAGGCAGGUCUCUGGGCUGACACUGACGCUCAUGCACGAAAGCGUGGGGAGCAAAC